RNAcentral lists this ribosomal RNA (230 nucleotides) under Alexandrium tamarense. RNAcentral's name for it is "partial Bacterial large subunit ribosomal RNA". It matches the Rfam family "Bacterial large subunit ribosomal RNA", at positions 768 to 996 of the family's 2925-position model. Lineage: Eukaryota; Dinophyceae; Gonyaulacales; Pyrocystaceae. The record is from RNAcentral.
GGAGGUCCGAACCGACUAAUGUUGAAAAAUUAGCGGAUGACUUGUGGCUGGGGGUGAAAGGCCAAUCAAACCGGGAGAUAGCUGGUUCUCCCCGAAAUCUAUUUAGGUAGAGCCUCGGACGAAUACCAUUGGGGGUAGAGCACUGUUUCGGCUAGGGGGUCAUCCCGACUUACCAACCCUUUGCAAACUCCGAAUACCAAUAAGUAAUAUCCGGGAGACACACGGCGGGU